RNAcentral lists this ribosomal RNA (591 nucleotides) under uncultured bacterium. Its description in RNAcentral is "partial 16S ribosomal RNA". It matches the Rfam family "Bacterial small subunit ribosomal RNA", at positions 355 to 1375 of the family's 1533-position model. The record is from RNAcentral.
UGGGGAAUUUUGGACAAUGGGCGAAAGCCUGAUCCAGCAAUGCCGCGUGUGUGAAGAAGGCCUUCGGGUUGUAAAGCACUUUUGUCCGGAAAGAAAUCCUUGGCUCUAAUACAGUCGGGGGAUGACGGUACCGGAAGAAUAAGCACCGGCUAACUACGUGCCAGCAGCCGCGGUAAUACGUAGGGUGCAAGCGUUAAUCGAAGUUACUGGGCGUAAAGCGUGCGCAGGCGGUUUGCUAGGACCGAUGUGAAAUCCCCGGGCUCAACCUGGGAACUGCAUUGGUGACUGGCAGGCUAGAGUAUGGCAGAGGGGGGUAGAAUUCCACGUGUAGCAGUGAAAUGCGUAGAGAUGUGGAGGAAUACCGAUGGCGAAGGCAGCCCCCUGGGGCCAAUACUGACGCCUAUGCACGAAGAGCGUGGGGGAGCAAACAGGAUUAGAUACCCUGGGUAGUCCACGCCCUAAAACGAUGUCAACUAGUUGUUGGGGGAUUCAUUUCCUUAGUAACGUAGCUAACGCGUGAAGUUGACCGCCUGGGGAGUACGGUCGCAAGAUUAAAACUCAAAUGAAUUGACGGGGUCAUAGCUGUUUCCU